ACGGGGCCCGCACAAGCGGUGGAGCAUGUGGUUAAUUCGACGCAACGCGAAGAACCUUACCAGGGCUUGACAUCCCCUGACCGCGUAUGAAAGUACGUUUUCACCUCGGGUGACAGGGAGACAGGUGGUGCAUGGUUGUCGUCAGCUCGUGUCGUGAGAUGUUGGGUUAAGUCCCGCAACGAGCGCAACCCCUACGUUUAGUUGCUAACAGGUGAAGCUGAGCACUCUAGACGAACUGCCGUUGACAAAACGGAGGAAGGUGGGGAUGACGUCAAAUCAUCAUGCCCCCUAUGUUCUGGGCUACACACGUGCUACAAUGGCCGGUACAGACGGAGGCGAAGCCGCGAGGCGGAGCAAAACCGAAAAAGCCGGUCUCAGUUCGGAUUGCAGGCUGCAAUUCGCCUGCAUGAAGUCGGAAUCGCUAGUAAUCGCAGGUCAGCAUACUGCGGUGAAUACGUUCCCGGGCCUU
Molecule: ribosomal RNA, 469 nt
Filed under: uncultured Pelotomaculum sp.
Lineage: Bacteria; Bacillati; Bacillota; Clostridia; Eubacteriales; Desulfotomaculaceae
Description: bacterial SSU rRNA
Rfam family: Bacterial small subunit ribosomal RNA
Source: RNAcentral